Long non-coding RNA from Prinia subflava (tawny-flanked prinia), 1302 nucleotides. RefSeq lists it as uncharacterized. The transcript has 3 exons. The record is from RefSeq and is a predicted model, not a curated record. Lineage: Eukaryota; Metazoa; Chordata; Aves; Passeriformes; Cisticolidae.
UUCAAACUCUCCUUCAUUUCAGAGAAGCGAGGCACAAAGGAGCUGCUGUUUUCCAGCAAGGAGUAACACAAGAAAAGUGCCCCAGCAGUCUGCAGUGUUCCACACCACCUCAUUACAGAUAAGGAACUGGAGCUUGGAGCCGUGCUGGGAGCAGGCAGAGGAUUUGGGCAGUCAUUGGAUAAAGAAAUUUUCCUGAACUGUGUCAAAGCACCCAGCUCUGCUGUUUCGGUGCCUGUGGUGGAGGGGAGCUCUGAGCCUGCAGGAAAGCACAGCUUGGGAAAACCCUGAGCCUUGGAAUUCAUAAUUUAACAAGCAGGUGGGUACAGUGAAGAUGAAACAACAACAAAAAAGGAAUGGUGAGGUUCUCCUCUUGGAAAGUGGUGUGUAAAUGCACACAGCCCCAAGCAGAGGCAUUUAUUGUGUAUGUCUGAAGCCACCUCUGGGGUUUUCUGCCUGUUUCUCUAUAUGCAGAACUCCCCAGCACUGGAAUCCUGUAGGAUCAGGAGUCAGAGCCCUGGGGCAGCAGGUACCUGAGUGUGAUUGAUUCUUUAGUGCCUUAUUUUUCAUUUCUAGAAGAGCUGGACUUGCAGCUCUUCCCUGGAGUGAAUUACAAGACAAGGAGCAGGGGCCAAAGGGAAGCUCAUUCCCGUGCUGAUGCAGCUGGAUUUUCCACAUCUGUGCUAGCCCAAUAUCCCAUAGUUUUCCAUCCCUCCAUCCAUCCCUCCAUCCAUCCCUCCAUCCAUCCAUCCAUCCCUGAAUCUCUGUGUGUCUAUUCCAGGAAUUUGGACCUGUAGUAAGAUGCUUUGAGGUUUAAAUUAUGUGGAUUGUGUUUAGGAUGGCUGUGAGUGCUGCUUGCAAAAUCCUAAUCACAAAGCUCCUCCCCAAGCCUUGCCCAGGCCCAGAGGAACCCUGAUUUUCCCUGGAGAAGGACAGAACUGACAGGGAGAGCCAGGAAUAAAGUGCUUUUACAGCACACACCUUGAAAAUCCAGUGAUGAAUGCCCAGACCAAACCUUCAGUGAGUUAUUGAUUAUAUUUCUCUCCUCUUUUGUAAACCUCCAAUCUAUUUAUCCUUCCAGUUACAGCUCCCUGAGAGCUGCCACGUGCACCAGGCUCACUGAAGGCUGGGGUUGCUCAUCCCAACCUGCUGGAUGCAAACCACUCCACAGGUUUAUUUUCUCCUCAGAUUGAGUUAAUAAAACAGCAAAGAGGAAAGGUGGCCCAGAAGCCACAGGAUCAAUAAGCUAUUAGGAGCCAAGAAAAUUCAGCAAACUGCACACAUAAUUAAAGGCUGUGGUGAACA